UGGCAAUGAUGAUAUAACAAAGGCUUGUUUCUCAAAACAUUCGCAGAUGCCGCCUAAGAGCUUUCGCCCUGCCAGGCUUGAGAGCUAAUGCUGCUAAUCCUUCCUUGGAUGUCUGAGCCA
This 120-nucleotide small nucleolar RNA is filed under the name Triticum aestivum (bread wheat). RNAcentral describes it as "Small nucleolar RNA SNORD14". It matches the Rfam family "Small nucleolar RNA SNORD14". From Rfam's summary of the family: U14 small nucleolar RNA (U14 snoRNA) is required for early cleavages of eukaryotic precursor rRNAs. In yeasts, this molecule possess a stem-loop region (known as the Y-domain) which is essential for function. Lineage: Eukaryota; Viridiplantae; Streptophyta; Magnoliopsida; Poales; Poaceae. The record is from Rfam by way of RNAcentral. RNAcentral also lists the same sequence under 2 other names.